CAACUUUCAACACCGAACUCUUGGCUCUCGCAUCGAUGAAGAACGCACCGAAAUGGCAUAAGUAAUGGGAAUUGCAAAUUUUCAGUGAAUCAUCGAAUCUUUGAACGGACCUUGCGCUCCUUGGUAUUCCGAGGAACAUGCCUGUUUGAGUGGCAUUA
Molecule: ribosomal RNA, 158 nt
Filed under: Athelia sp. HHB-15599
Lineage: Eukaryota; Fungi; Basidiomycota; Agaricomycetes; Atheliales; Atheliaceae
Description: 5.8S ribosomal RNA
Rfam family: 5.8S ribosomal RNA
About the family: 5.8S ribosomal RNA (5.8S rRNA) is a component of the large subunit of the eukaryotic ribosome.
Source: RNAcentral